Molecule: ribosomal RNA, 244 nt
Filed under: uncultured bacterium
Lineage: Bacteria
Description: partial 16S ribosomal RNA
Rfam family: Bacterial small subunit ribosomal RNA
Source: RNAcentral
UACGAAGGGGGCUAGCGUUGUUCGGAAUCACUGGGCGUAAAGCGCACGUAGGCGGAUUUUUAAGUCAGGGGUGAAAUCCCGGGGCUCAACCUCGGAACUGCCUUUGAUACUGGAGAUCUUGAGUCCGGAAGAGGUAAGUGGAACUGCGAGUGUAGAGGUGAAAUUCGUAGAUAUUCGCAAGAACACCAGUGGCGAAGGCGGCUUACUGGUCCGGAACUGACGCUGAGACGCGAAAGCGUGGGGA